Ctenocephalides felis (cat flea) is the source of this 292-nucleotide long non-coding RNA. RefSeq lists it as uncharacterized. The record is from RefSeq and is a predicted model, not a curated record. The transcript has 3 exons. NCBI's taxonomy places the organism in Eukaryota, Metazoa, Arthropoda, Insecta, Siphonaptera, Pulicidae.
CAAGACCUGCGUCUGCUUCGAGUUUCUGAACAAUGCGGUCGUCACGCUCAACCAGGAUGAAUUCGACGCCGAGCCCCAUCCGGACUACCCCUUUACAUUCCUCAAGGGAGGCAAAUCUUGCCUGUUUCCGAUGUCGGCCGAGAUUGAGGUGUGGGCGAUGACGGAUUUUCAGAUAAUAGUUUCGGUCUACAAAGAAGUCAAGGUGCCUAAAGAGGACAAAAUCCCGAUAGGUUUUUGCAACAUCUCCAUCGCCCAGCAAUUCAAAUGCAUUUCGAGACAACUAAAGGAGAAC